UGCUACAAUGGCGUAAACAAAGGGAAGCAGCCCUGUGAAGGUGAGCAAACCCCAAAAAUAACGUCCCAGUUCGGAUUGUAGUCUGCAACCCGACUACAUGAAGCUGGAAUCGCUAGUAAUCGCGAAUCAGCAUGUCGCGGUGAAUACGUUCCCGGGCCUUGUACACACCGCCCGUCAAGCCAUGGGAGCCGGGGGCGCCUGAAGUCCGGGACCGCGAGGACCGGCCUAGGGCGAAACUGGUAACUGGGGCUAAGUCGUAACAAGGUACC
This 269-nucleotide ribosomal RNA is filed under the name uncultured bacterium. Its description in RNAcentral is "partial 16S ribosomal RNA". It matches the Rfam family "Bacterial small subunit ribosomal RNA", at positions 1223 to 1500 of the family's 1533-position model. The record is from RNAcentral.